GCAGCCCGGCUCGCAGCGCGCGUCAGCGGGGGCUCCCCGGAGCGAGUCGCUAGGUAACGGGGCUGGCUCCGCAGACGCGGGGCCGGGGAAGCCCGCGCGCGUCAUCAGCAGCGGCGCCGCGGGGCGGGGGGCGCAGAGACCCUCCCCAAUCCCGGCCUGCCACCACCUGGCUCGCGCGCAGCCCCGGCCCAGAAUGCCUUAACCUGCGCCGAUUGCUGCCGCCGAGGUGCCCCUCCCCUGUAGGGACCCCGACGCCGCCAGCCCCUUCCUCCUUUCCCGCAGGUGCGCACUGCUGUGCUUGCGGCCGGGUGGGCGCCCCGCCGCUGCGGUCGCGGUCGCCGCUGGUAAGCUGCGCUCUGGGGCUUGGGGCAGGAAGCAGUGGGGGGCGCUCGAAGAGCAGGGCAGCUACGGCCACCGUGGCCGCCGGACCGGCCAUGUGCUAAAGUUUCUGGGGCUCGGCGCCCCGCUGGGCGCGCAGCGCGGGGAGCAGACGCGCCGUGGGUGGGGCAGCGCGGUGCUGCUGGCGCCCGGCCCCCGCGGGGUGCAGCUCUGCGCGUUCUCAUGCUGUCUCUCUCUCUUUCCCUCCGCGCUGCCUCUCCGAGGUCCUCCCGCCGAGCCCCGGCGCGGGGCAUGAGGAGCCCCCGGGUGCCGCCCAGAGACCAGCAGGCUGCGCGCACACCUAGCCAGCGGCAGACGGGGACAUGAGCAGCGCGCACGGGGUCCCGCGCCCGGCGGCCAGCCCUAUCCGGCGGCGGCCAGCGGGUCAACGCUGCCCGGGAGAAUGAGGCAGGAGCCGGCGGCAGCCUCCUUUUUUUCCUUCUCCUCGCCUUCCUGCGGCUCCGGCGCUCCGGGUCCGGGCCGGGCUGCGGCUCUGCUGCGUGCCCCGCGCGCCCCUCAACCGCCUCCGGAUGCGCUUCUCGGUAAGCCAGGCCCUCCGCCUCGCGAACAAAGCUCCCUUCGCAGGGCCCGGAGGCCGCCUCAGGGCCCCUGUCCUACCCUCCUUCCCCACUUACAGCCUGGAAACAUUCGGGGCUUCCGAUUGAAUCGUUCAAUUUCCCCUGCCCCGAAGCCCCGCCUGGAGGCUGAACUGCCCGGGCAGACCUGGUGCUUUCUUCUGCCUUCUGGAGAAAGAUGUGGGUUUGACAUGCAGGCGGGAGACCUGUCUGGUCUAGAUAACGGCAUGUGUAUGCAGCUAGGUUCAGACUUAGCAUUUGGGGGCAACAACUCUUAUUUAGUGGGUGUCCAGGCCGUGCCGGGCAGUGUGCCUCAAAGCCGCUCUGGGAAAUAGGUCCCCGUUUCUCCUUGGCCCAGAUGAGGAAACUGAGGCUUAGAGAGGUUGAAUGACUUAAUCAAGGUCACAAGGUUAGGAAGUGGGAGACCAGGAUUGGAAACCAGGGUACCCUACUUCCCUGCCAGACUGUUCCCUUUGUAACAAACACACCUGUCUCAUUUCUUCUACUAACUGCUUCCGUCUCGAGAGUCAUUGCGUGUGUGUGAAAAUACUUGCUCCAAUGAGUAUCUGUUCUGAUGAAAUAAAUUGCCUGUAGCAAGCACUUUUUGUCCAUCCUGCCAUCACGCUGCUGCCAACCCCUAAUGUGUACUCUACUUUUUAGUUCAGGUGAGAGGAUAAUAUGUUUUCCUAGGUGUUCUCUUUCCUGGGGUUCUGUUUUCCCAGUCCUCCUGAAGGAUGGAAAGGACAGUGGUUCCUCCUGUGUGCCCAGCACAUGCUAGGCCUCAGAACUGCAUCCUUAACCUUUCCCUGGGGGCAGGGCUCAUCAAGGUUACCUGCCCCUGGUUUUGUAAAUCUUGGAGAUGAUUACUUAACCGGAGCGGGGGCUGAUCCCAGAUGGCCACUGUGCAGGGGCUGGCCCAGUGUUGGCUCAUAUUUGCCAGCCCUCAGUGUCAGCAGAACUUCUGAGCCCCAAACACUUCUGAGCCCCAAAGAAAAGGAGUUUUAAUGCAGAUACGAUGCCUGAUGCAUGCCCCCAGUUCUCUGGCUUGCCGCUGUUAGCUGUUUGCUUAAGUGCAUUUAGUUAACUGUUUGCUUAAGUGCAUUUAGUUAACUGUUUGCUUAAGUGCAUUUAGUUCCUGAAGGGGCAAGCCACCUGGAAUCAAUUGAUCCUGGUCUGAGGGGCUUGUUCCAUUGGUGAAGUCACAGUGUUGAGCUCAGUUGUCUACACGUACAUUUGUGUUGGUGCAGAGAAAGUCCCUUAGCAGUAGGGGCCUCUGUGUCUCUGUUAGUAAAGAGCAAGGGUGGACUGACCAGCCCUUCAGACCCCCUUCAGCUAAAUGAUUCUGAGUGACAAAACUAGUAAGUUACAGGCUUGAGCUAGGAUGUCUUAGUCCAGUCAUUUGGACGAACAUUCUACACUGAAUGGGUUGUUGAUUUCCAAGAAGAGGACUUGGUUUCCAGGGAGCUGUGAGAUUCAGGUUCAGCCCAAAAGAGGUGAAGCUCGAGCUGUGCUUAAUAGAUUAUUUACUGGGCUAACACAUAGUGGCUAUAAAAUGUUCCAAGCUACCAGAUUGGGGUUGUGGGAUAGGUUAGGCCUUUCAGUAGGAGAGAUGACAUUAGCUCCUAAGAACUGAUGACAUACAAUGCAUUAAGAAGAUGCCCAGCAGGCUAGAAAGCAGCAAGCUGGUGAGCUUUUCCUGCCCCUCCAAAAAUAAUCAAUCAUAUUUGCAUAGGUAAAACAUUCCCAGCACAAACAAUUACUGCAAAUAAAUAAAGUGAUUUUUUUUUUAGACUCUUCCAACUGCAUUGUUUGCUGAGUAUAUUAGCGAUGCGUGGAGCCGGCCUUAGCUUGGCUGCAGAGGGGCUGGGACAGGGAAGGUGGGCUGAAGGAUGUUCAGACCCUGAGUUAGUUUUUGGCUGUGGAUUAGAGCUAAAUCCAUCACUUUGACCUAUGGGUCGUUAAUGGGGUUGUCAUUGGUCUUUUUAAGAUGUGGAUUAAUGAACCUCUUAAAGUGUUGCCGAAUCCCAAAUGAAACGGGCAUGUCCCACCUUUUUCCCAGAAACUCGGCUCUCAGCGGGUUUUGUGACUGUUUGAAAUUCACAAAACCAGAGCAAAGCUUUCAUUUUUGACAGGCUCAUAGGGAUCUGCAAAGGAAAAAUAAUGCAUCUUAUGUAGGGAUAUUAAUCUCCCAGCAUUGUGUGUUUUAGCUUCUCAUGAUUAACUGGUAAGGUUUUGAAUAAAAAUGAAUGCAGAGAAACAAUCUUCAUUAAGUUGCUUUUGAAAAUGCUGAGGUAAUUAUGAAAUAACGAUUUUUGUGUCAUAGAUCAUACUACUCAUAGCCAAAGCUGGAUUACAUCACAAAACAUUACUCUUGUUACUGAUAUUUAUUUUUUAAUUCAUUAGUUUUCUCAUAUUUUUUGCCUUUUUUCUCCCCGUGUGAAAAUAAGCCAUCGAGAAUAAAUUCUUCCUUUUCAGUUUUUCUUUGUCUUAAAUCCAGUUUUUUUUUUUCUGUAAGAUCUCUAAGCUGAACUCUUCCACACCAUACAUAUAAUGGCCUCAUGUUAAAAUAUGUUUUAAGUGCCUUGGAUUUCUUUUGGGAGAACAAGAGGGUUAUGUAUCGUAAGUAAAUAACAGUGAUGAGACAUUUCCCUUGUUUGCUUACUCUUCUAAGUCAGGGCUUGAGACCAUGCCCUCAUGAUUGCAGCUGCCACACUUAGCAUCAUGGGGACACAGCCUGAGUGCUGUGGCAUUUCUGCAUCAGUGAGGAUGCACACCUGGACUGAUCGGAGUGUGAGGAAAACAACAGCUUCCGUAGGCCAGGAAACCUGGGGUUUAUUCCCGACUCAGUUGUUCAUUGGCUUUGUGGCCUUGGGCAAAUUAUUUCCAUUUGCUGGGUCUGGGUUUACAUAUAUGCAAUGGGUGUGUACGUUUGCAUGUAUAUGUGUGUGUAUUGGUACCAGAUAUUGCCCUCCAAACUCUAAGUUUGAAGAAUCCUCAAAAUUUGGGUAUAGCUGGUUAUUAAUACCUCCAGAAUGCUCUGUACUUUAAGGUUACAUAACGUUCCAAUUAGACAUUCCUAUAAACAAUAAGAAAUUGGUGAUUAUAGAAAAUAUGCUGUUUAUUACCCUAAGUGGAGACUCCGUACCCUGAGUGUGUGAAGGAGGAUGGAGCUUUGAUCCAUCCUGAUUAUGCCGGCUUCCCUAUCAGAGUCCCCUUGCACGGUAGAGGCUCAGCACAAAUCUGAGAGCACUAGAAUGAGCCAUGACCCUCUCUAGGAUCCAUGUGGCAGAAGAUGCAAGAACUAUUAUGUAAUUUGGGUCAAUGGGGUAAGAAGACUAUGACAUUCUAUCUGUGUAGCUUUAGGGUUCAGGGGACUUGGAGAUUCCGCCUCAAUCUCAGGCUGUUCCUGGAAGGUAAGGAAGGGGAAGUAUGUAAUUUGAAAAUGGAGAGUACUUUAGUUAGAGCCUUGAACUCAGCUGAAGCUGGGAAAUGGUGAGGAAGAAGCUUGUCAGUUUGGCAGUGGUAUUUUUUGCCAGGUUUUGUGUGUAGGCUUCCCUUGUAACAUCUAAGGAAGUGUGUUGUCUGAGGUCAGGCUCCCUGGUGAAGCUGCAGUCAUUUUCAGAUAGAGAGGGCAUGAGAAAGGAACCACCAGCCCUUAAACACUUUGUCCUUGCAACUCUGCAAAGUAGACAUUGUGAACCCUGUGUUCUAGAUGAGGAACCCAGGCUCAGAGAGCUGAAGUGUCUUUCUUAGUCUCUAAUAAUUAUCGAAUGGCAGAACCAUGCAAUGUUUUAAAUGGACUCUGCUGGGGUUUAAAUCAACCCGUGCUGGACCUCAUUUCCACUGCUACUGCAGUGUGUCUGUCUGGCAACCAAAUUGUGUCCUUCCUCCCCAAUUUCUAGAUAACCAUGGCACUAAAAAAAGCAUGCAGAUGAUUUGACGUAAGUAGCAUACGGAGGUGAUUUUGCUGUCAAUAAACCUCUAAAUUCACCAGGAUUUUUGUUAAUGCAUUAGAUUUCUUUUAACUACACGAGGUCAAACAUGUCGAUUUCCAAAAAGAUUCCUAAAUAAGCCAAGUGUAACCCUAACAGGGUUAGUGCUGGUGAUUCUUUGGGAAAAGCUAAAAGAAUUCUCCUGGGUCCCACAUUCAUCCCCCUGGGGUUCUGUGGGAGGUGAACACAAACUGAUGUAUGCGACGUCAGUCUGAGGAGUUGUCGCUAGGCUGCUCCUCCUGAAAAAGGGACACAAUAAAAGUUAUGUAACAGCUUUCAAAAGAACUGUUUCUCCUCCUCCAGGAUGCCCAUGAGUUAAUCCUCCCCCAAACAACAGACUAGAGAAGGUAUUCAGAGGAACACAUGUAAGACCUUCACGGUUCACCUACAGCUCUUAGGAGUUUCUGGGACUCGGGAGGAAAUGUAGGUCUCAAGGAACUUUUCACGUUAUCGAGUAGAGAUGCCGUCGUAGCUGAUGUUGGGGACGGCCUUCGGAAGGUCACCCAUGUGAGUAUAGCUGCUGCUGUUCUUCGCUGUAAGUGUGCAGAGCUGGCCAAGCAUCCACCAUUCCCAGGACCAGAGAUUCCAGAGUCCUGUUGGUAACACUCAAUUUACAAAGAGCAAAGGAAAAUCCCUGAAAUACUCUGUCACCCCAUUGCGUGGCUUUACAUUCUGCUAACGAUACUCAGGCUGGGUUUCUUCACCAGCAGUUGAAAAUGCUUCUGUCUCUGACGCUGGCCUUGCCUGUGUCAUGUGAGUGACGUCUUCACCAACAGACCCCUCCUUCCGUCUCCCUUGGAUCACUGAGCUGCUUAUAUGCCAAAAGCUUCAAGUUUGUUGAUAGGUGAUGAGAAAAAUUAGACAGAAUGAGUUAGAAAGCUUGACUAUGCUUCAUCUACAAUCUUUAAAAUACCACAUCUCAGCAGUCAGCACAAGUUUUUGAUUUGGUAAAUGAGGAAUAACAUUGCGUGUCCUCGGUGCGGCCCAUGGAAUCUGCAUCUUCUGCCCCCAGACUUUGAGAGAACAGGUGCCCCAGGGCUUCAGCUCUGGGCUAGAUUUCUAACAUGUGUAGUUACUAAAAAGUAGAAAAUGCAAGAGUAGCUUUGCAGAGUCACCAGAGAGGAUAAGAUAAGAAGACAGAGAAGUUCAUGGCCUCUGAUACGUGAUUACUGCGAACACUUAUUCAGGGCAUGGUAGUAGAAAUGAUUUCACACCCGUUUCCAGCAACGAGAAGCACAAAAUAAAUUCACUAAGAAAUUUAGCUGUGUUUCUUGUUGUUUUUGUAUGUGGCUUAUGACAAGUGCAGAUGGCACUUCAUGUAGUUAAAAACCUUCGCCUUCCUAAGUCCUUCGUGGUGGCUAAGAGAGGCUAGGCUAAAUGCCUUGGCAGACCUGCAUUUUUGAAACCUGACUCCCAAGGUCAGGUGGUGGUCUUGGUGAGGGUCAGUGUAUUUCCAGGUGCUUCUGUUUCUUAAUAAUCUAUGAUGAGCUGCUGUAUGUACCUCAUUUAGCAUCACCAAGCAAAAGAGCAAACAGAGAAUGCCCAGGGCAUUUUUCCCAACCUGCCACAUUUCUCCGCCUCUAUCUGCUAAUAUGGUCUGGGGAUCCUGAUCCACUUCUUGAUUCUUUUAAUUCAGAAAAUGGAUGAUAAUGACAGUCAUUUUUUAAAUGAUCAAUAUUGAUAAGUCUUAUAUUUUUAAAUAAAGUGAAUGCCCCUGAGAGCAUCACGUGCAAGUUUAAAAUGAUUUAUGAAUGGAUACAGUAUCCUUUAACUUGUUCAGAGGGCUUUAUUGAAUACUUCUAAAACAGUACGUCUAUUAUCCUUUAAUUUGUUCAGAGGGCUUUAUUGAAUACUUCUAAAACAGUACGUCCAGUUUUGCAGUGUUCAAGUCUAAAGGUAGACGUGAAAACCACAUCCUGUGUUCUUCAUCUGAAAAGGAGGAGUGGAAAAAUACACCCGACUUCUAAAAGGGAAUGUUGAGACUGUUCCUCUCUGUUUUACUGACAAGAUAACAUUGCUUCGGUCUGAAAAUUCUCUGUAGAUGCAUCUUCUACAGCAGGGCUGGUUGUCCUCCAGUCUGCUCGAGGACAUCCCUGUGGCGGUUGAGAGUGGCUCUGUCCAUCUGUGCAGGCAUGGAGCUGUCUCCUCCACAGAGCAUGCCUCUCUCUGGUCCCGUCUGGUUACUAGGAUCCACCCCCCCAACACACACCAUCAUCCUUUCCUCAGACAGAUGUCAGGGACAACAGUUUAACAAACAGUUAUGGAGCACUAGCUCUGGUCCAGGCACUGCUAGGCAUUGAGGCUGCAGUGGUGGACACAGACAGCUGUAGUGUGUCAUAGGCUGCUACUGUUUCAGUAGGCCUGGGGCGUCACCCUCUGCCCUUUUUAAGGGGUCUGUUCAGAAUCUGGAGGAUUUAGCUGUUGCAUACUUGGAGGCACGCUGGGGCUGGUGGGGAGAGCCCAGGCUGGGAGGCAGGGGGCCUUCUCUCUCCUCUCACCUGGGUGCCUAGGGCCAAGCCACCCCCCCGCCGCCACUCUGACCCUUCACUGGUUUCAAGUGCAAAGAUUGGGUCACUGCAGGUUUUUUCCAAGUGUGAUCCAGGGACCACUUCCAUGGAAACACCAGGUGAGCUUAUUAAAAUGCAUAUGGGUGGACCUUGCUGCAGACUUGCCAAAUUAGAACUCCUGGGGAUGGGGGUGCCCAGAAUCUAUAUUUUUAACAUGCUUCCAGGUCGCUCUCACCUUGAGCACAGUGGUGUUCAAGAAGCACUGGUUCUCCUGGGUGUCGAAUCAGUAAUGCCCCUCCCUGCUCUAAAGGACUCAGAAUGUGGCACUCACCCCCAUGCUGGCCACUCUUCCCACCUUCACCCACCGCCGUGCUGUCCAAGCCAAUCGACUCUCUCUUCACCACGCUUCCCGCUCCUCCUCCUCUGUGCACUACAGUUUGUUUCCCGUAUGGUAGCCAGAGUGAGCCUUUUAAAGGAUCUCAUUUCUCCUUGGCUGGGAGAGCUUCAGUGCCCCCUGUGCCCAAUAGUCAGGGACCUUAAGGUGACCCUCAGGGCCCUGCACGAUCUGGCCCUCCAUCUCACCUCCUCUCCCACCACCUGCCCCCUUGCUUCCCUCUUCAUGUCACAGCCCUAGAACCCACCCAGCUGCCAGGCAUUCACUCCAAGGAGCCACAGGACCUGGGGACUGGCAAGGCAGGGUGCCAGCCCUGGUAGGUGGGGCACAACCCUGUGAAGCUCUGUUUUCUGUCUUGCCACUAUGCUGAAAACCCCUGCAGACUGACACUCUUAAACCCACUUGGGCAAAUCUGUUUCUGGGCCUGCCCACCACCAUAGUAAAAGUAAAUUUAGAAGCAGCUCUUUAAGUCUAGGCACCGUGUUACAGGGUGACUCAUCAUGGGACUGCAUUGUCAAAGUGGCUCUAGAACUUUUUUUCGAGGAAGUUUCUGGAUAUAGACUGCAACCCUCUUGGGCUGGACUAUUAACUCAGCCACUUUUGAUCCCAGGGCCCUGUCAUCCCUCCUUGUCUUCUUUCCACAAGUAUUCACAAGACACCUGCUACGUCCAAACACUGCGGUCCCCACAAUCUGUGUCUGCGUGGUUGUAUCUCCGACUGCCGCUCUUGCUUACAGAUGAAACAAUGUGGUCUGGAAAGUAUUUCUCUGGCCUUUUUUUUUUUCCCUCCUACUGAGAAAUAGUUGCUCUGGCCUGUGUAUCAACAGCAGCCCUCUUGGGGCCUAGGUUAAGCAAACUGCACUCGAAAGGAUCAAUCCCUUGGCAAGUAGGAGGGAAAGAUGGACCAUGUUGUGAGAUUAACCUCCAAGGCGAGCUGAGUGCGUAACUGGAAGAUCUGUGGGGUCUCUCAGAUGGGAUGCGUGCUCAGCGCAUGGGGCCAGGGCUUGGUUUUCUGAAAGCCAGCCUGCCCAGCAGUGCAAAUGAGUGAAAAAGGCCAGGAAAACUUCAGAUGCUUUUGGGUCUGACAUUGCAGAUGCCUUACCUUGAAUCGUAAGGAGGGAAGCAUUUUCACGCUCAGCAUCAAUCUUCUUUGGGAUGCUUUCUCUGGACAUAUUGACCAAGCCUUCACUGAGAGGCCAUUAGCAAAGUGGGGUGGAGGAUGAAAGUAGAGAUGUUCCCUGCCUUUUAUGGUUUCAGAGACAGUUGGGGAAAACGUGUUACGUAACUACCUGUAGCUAAUUAGAGUGACUGACGUGCUCUGAGAAGGCAGAGAUAGGAAAGAUGGGUUUGGCCGGGGGAGGGUGGAGGCGUUUGACUUGAGCCCUGAGAGACGAGAAGGAAUUUCCUGAGCAGAGUUGAGCGGGAAAGGCCUUCUAGGUAGGAGGGCAAGUGUGAGCAGAAGCACAGAGGCCUGUUUAUUGGGGAGAGGGUACUGUGUUAUAGGUCUGUAGAGUCAGGCUGAGGCUGCAAGGCAGGGACAAGGCUGGGUCACUCCUGCUUAGAUGGGAGUGGGUCUUGAAUGCUAGAUUAAGGAGGGUUCCAUGUCUUACAGGAUUUGCAUUAAAAAGAUAGCUGGUAGCCCUGUUCAUGACCCCCUGUACCCUCUAUAUUAUAGGAUAGUGAAGAUGUGUAAAACGUUCAAGAAGAAAUACUGUGUGGGAAUGAGCAUGGUUGUCCCGGGUGUAACCUCAGGCACCAUUUCUCUGAUUGCAGUGUCUCUGCUUGUCUGUAUCUGUUGUCUGAUCCUCUGGGCCCUGCUGCCCAGACCCCAACUCCACCAGCCCUGCUGGGGCUCGGAAGGAAAGCAAGGUAGCCGCUGGCUUCAGCAAUUGCUGCCCAGCCAUCGUGGACUCUAGCCAACAGGAAAUGGAGCGGGCAGUGUCCCAGCCUGAUUCACCGAGCCAUGGGUCUCCCUGUGCCUCUGCAAAUGCAUUCAGGCUGCUCCUGGCCUAAAAACAAUGCUCCCAGACCUACAUCCACAGCUGAGAGAAUCCAGGGCACACAUUUGCCCGCCAGCUUCCCUGAGCUUCCCCCAGCAGUGGGCUCAGUGGGUAGGAGAGGGGGACAUGGUCUGGAAUCAAGGCGUGUGCCACUCAGUGACCAUUUGCUUUGAAAUCAAUGUGCUCAGCAGGGCCAGUGACUUUUGCAGAGCUGGCUGGACAAAGGGAACAUGAAGAAGGGAAGAGUGUCUCAGGGUCACGGGUGGUUAUACUACCCUUGAACUUCACCUUCCUAUUGCUAAGGAAGAGAGAGAGACAGAAAAGCAUGUUCCACAAGCCAGUGGGCAAAUUCUUAGCUGUUUUCUGUGGAGUCUGGGCCUGGCAGAGAGCCCUCUUCACGACUGGCUGACUGCCAGAUGGUGCCAAGGGCACGGCAUCCCGGGCAGUCAGCCUCCUAGUGAAGAUUGCCAUCCUCUGGAGGGUUCCCUGCCCCAGGACAUGGGCCUGGGAAGGGAAUGCAAUUCCACCCUCCAUGGGUCCCAUUUACAGGUCAACAAAUUGAGGCCAAGAGAAGAGAAGUGGAAUUGUGGCCGAGUAGCACAUGAAAUCACUCUGGAGUCGGUCAUGAUCCCUGAGGCCGGCCAAUGCCCAGUGCCCAUUGCUGGCAGCAGUCCACCUGGAAAUGGACAGUUUGUCCUCACACUGCCUUGCUACCCACCAGGCAUGGAGGAUGUGGCUUUCUCCUUGUUCAUCUGUCUUCCCUCUUGGAACCCAGGCCCAGAGCCAGGGGGCUGGGCAUGACCCCUAGAUGUCUGGCCUUUUGUUUGCUUCUUGGUUUCUGAAGCUUGUGUGGAAGUUGAAUGCAAGCAGAGAAAGGAAUUUAGUAGCAAGUUAUCAGAGCAGAUUAGAAUGGUUGUCAGGAUCUGGGCAUGGAAAUCGAUGGGGCUGAGUUCUCUCUUUGGAGCUCUAGGGCUCCUGAAACGCACCAUCAGGUCCUGGGAAAGCCUUUCAUCCUGGUUCUCAGAGCACCUAGUGCACACUUACGUACAUACAUAAGUUUAAGCCAAACCAUCUCAUGAGAUCAUCAUCGCUGGCUCCAUCUCUUUCUUUCAACUGUCUCUUCCCUGGAUCCUCAGUACCUGGGGUGAACCUUGCUUGGCACCUGGAAGUCACUCCUGGCCUGUUAGUGACUGGAUGGGGGAUGCAGUGUGCAAAGGGACUUGUGCAGCGGUCAGUCUGGCUGAGCUUUUGGGGCAGCCUGGUGCUCCUGACUGUUUCUCACCUUAUCAAGUAGGUUCUCCUAAAUGCAUAAGAAGCUGAUGACAGCUCUGCUGGCUGACUUCAAAACAGUCAAACCUUCAGUGCUUUAUCAGGCAGAUCUGUAAGUACAGUUCCUGCUCAUAAAAUGCAUCCGUCACAGCCCCGUGCAACAUAAAGGAAUUGUUUGCAAACUUUCCCAGGUUAUUACCCCCAAACUUAGUAAAUAUAUGUAUUGGAUAAAUAAUCUUGGGAGGUCCAUAAAUUAUUGCAGUUUCGGACAGUACUAAUCUACCUGCUGGCACAUUUCAUAGGUUUCACCACCUUAUUGACUCACAUUUUAAUGAAAGAGGAGAGCAAAGCUAUAAAAACUAUCCUCAUGGGUUGGGGACCCGACCAGAUGAUGGAUGACAAAGCAGUGUAGAAAAUGUAUGAGUUCUGUGUGGUUAUUCAGGGUAAUUAUUAUUAAGACAUUUUGAGCAUCUGACCUCAGUUCCUUUUGUUUUCCUGGGCAAGGACCUACUACCUCCCAGAUUCUGCUGCACUUGGCUGGCGGCACUCUGUGCCUACAAUCUCACCAUUGGAAUGGCAGUUCUUCAACAGGAUUUUGAUGGCUGUCACAGUCACUUUGGGGGACAUGCACCUUUUAUUUGAAGCUGUUCUUCGAGUCAGAUUGUGAGGCACUGGACAGACCUGGAUUGAAAUCUGAGCUUAUCCUCUAAUUCCCUGUGUGAUUCUUGGACAAUUUGCUUCAGCCUUUAUGAGUCCUGUUUUCUCUUCUGAGAAAUGGGCAUAAUAACAACAAUUAAUGGUAAUCCCAGCUUUGAUUAAUAUUUGCUGGGUGCUUACUGGGGUAGGGACCCUGUGCAAUAAGUCCUUUCCGUGGACUCUUUCACUGAAUGUGUACAAUAGCUUGAUAAAGGAGUUAAUUUUAUUAUUCCCAUUUUACAGAUGAAAAUACUAAGCCUUCGAGUAUGUAUUGGUGCAUACAAAAACACCUCAGAUAAUGGUUUUGAACAUGAAUAAUCAUUUAUUUUGCUCAGCUAGGUGGCCUUGCUGCGGGCCUCAUGUGAGGUUGCAGUCAGACUGUGACUGGGGCUGGAAUCAUCUGGGAGGCUUCCUCACUCGCAUGUCUGGCCCCUGAGUGAGAAGGGGUGCACAGCCUGAGGGUGGGAGUGGGGAGGCUGGCACAGCUGAGACUCUCCAUCGCUCUGUGGACGCUCCGUGUGGCUGGGUAGCCAUACUGCCUACCUGUAGUCUAGGGCUCCAUUGACCCAAGAGAGAGCAAGAGGUUGUAGUGCGUGGGGGUGUCUGUCUCUAUCCUCUUUGGUGAUCGAGCCUCAGAAGUCACAUAGUAUCACUUCCGGCAUGUCCUUAGAAGCAAGUCUCUAAGGCCAGCCCAUAUUCGAGGGGAUGGGGGGGGCAGUUAGACUCCAUCCUUUGAUGGGAGGAGUGCCGAAGGAUGCCAGUACGUUUGAAGCCACCACGGAGUGCUUAGGUGACUUACACAAGGUAGACCGUUGCAAGGCAGCAGAGUGGGGUGUCGGAUCCCGAGCAUGGCCGUCACCCCUCUGCAGUGUAAAGUGUGAAGCACUACGGGCCCCGUGAAACGGGACCUCUGUAAGCAUGUGAGCUGUUUCCCCUUCAGAUGUCCUUUCUGAAGAAGGAAGCAGAGCUGUGUGCGAGUCCAGCUGCUGCUUCUCAGCUUCAAAGAGGCCUUUAUACCAACCCUUGGGGCAGACCACCUCCCCUCCCCUCCCCUGCUGUCCCUGGCCUCCCUUCCCUUCACCUGGAGCCACAUUCUCACUUUCUUGGGUCCUGGGCAAUUCUGUUUUCAUGGGCCUCUUCCACCAUAAAAAGAAAAAUUAAAAAUUAUUUCUUAGGACUGAGCUGAUAUAAAGAUGAACAUAUUAAUGUUACAUAUUAAAAGAUUUUCUUCUACCCAGAAGUUCAUUGUUUUCCUUCUGAUUUUAAAUUGGAACAUUUCUGUGGGCCCUGGGCACCGUGCCUGCUGCAUGUGAAGGAGAAGUUGGCUUGCCCUUCCACCUCCACCCCUCACCCCCUCCUCUCCCUCCCCCUCCUCCUCCUCCGCCUCCACUAUUCACUCUUCUGCCCUGGCCACCACUUAGCAGGCUGCUGUCCUCUCCUAGGCUGUGAACUUUCAGGUUCUCUGCACCCUGGGCAAGCCCCGUGACUGGGAGCUGACUGCUCCCCGUAACUCUGGCUUUCCUGUCUCCUGGUCCUUCACCAAGGGUAGACCUCCCUCGUGAGGAGGAACUUAAGCAGAGACUCAUCUUCCCUGUAAGCCCACGGAGCCGUCACCCCUGUCUGGCUUCUGGCUGGUCUCUCAUAGCAGAGUACCGGAAGGGCCUCCCUUCCUGUGCACCUGCAGGGGUGGUGGCAGUGCAGAGAUGGCUGCUCUCCUGGCUCCUGCGUCUGACACCCCAGCCAGCCCAUCCAUCCGUGAAUCCUCCACUCAACCAUUUAGGAAACAGCUUUUUACUGGUGAGCAUUUCACGAGGCCUACCUAGUCUCCUUCCUCAUGGAAUUUAGAGGGACACAAAGACAAAAAAAAAAAAAAAAAACUGACAAAUGAUUCUAAGCAAUGGGAGAUUUUUUUCCCCAAGGGGUGGGGUCUCACUGUGUUGCCCAGGCUGGAAGGCAGUGGCUAUUCACAGGCGCAGUCACUGCACACUACACCCUUGAAUUCCUAGGCUCAAGCACUUCUCCUUUUUUAGCUUCCCAGCAAUGGGAGAUUUUUUUUUAUAAGAAAUUGGCAUUUCAUGGAAAUCGAAGCAAGAAGUGUAGUCUGGCUUCGUGAAGGAGAAAUGAAGCCAUCAGCGACCAGGAUGUUUUCCUUCCUCUCUGUCUGGAGCCCCAGGUCUCACCAUCUUGUACCCUUUGUCUCUAACCUUCCUCUCCAACUUCAGGUUUUUCUUCUCGUCCUCUGAGCAUAUGGCCAAACAAUGGUCACCCCAGUAUGGCAGCCCCAACCCUACAUUUGUGUGGCCUCAAAGCUCACUCCAUCUCCCCGGGGCCUAAUUUCCCAGGAGAGAAGUAGAGUGGCCUGGCUUGGUGAGGAGCCCUCUGCUCUAAACAGCUGUGGCUGGGAGGUGGUGUCACAUGGUAGGGAAAGCUGUCCCUCGAGGCUGUCACUGAGACAGGCUCCCCAGGUAGGGUGUGCAAGAGGGGAGAGAGAAAUAGCACGUUCACUACACCUUUGCCUCAAAACCAAUUCUGGUUUAGGGUGGUGGUUGCCAGCCUUUUGAUGUCCACAGAAGAGGAUAUUUGUUUAGUUGAGAAAUUGGUAUAAGAUUGCCCAAUUUUAAUCUGCCCUCUCUCAUCAGCAUGUGAUAAAUAAUUUAGAAAACAGGAAGACCUUAAUAUUAGAAUCGUGAAAGUAUUUUAAAUUUGUUCAUUAAUCAAAUUAAUCAAAUGUAAUUAAAUUAAUCAGAGUAUUCUUGGUUUUCCCAUUUCACCCCUGACAGCUGAGACUUUGGUCACAGAGCUGAACGGGUCUGUGGGCUUACACCGGGACCCACAGCACUCGGAGUCCUCAGAAAUCAUUGUUAACAACAAUAAUACAACCCAGACAGCAGCAGAAAGAAUCGACCCGUGUCUGGAGCCUGCUGAAGUUGGGGGGCAGGGAAGCGACAUGAUCUAGUCUGUGAUUUAGAAAGAUAGCCCUUCGGCCACGUGGAGGUCGAACUAACAUUCGCAAAUUAGAAAUCUGUGUUGGCAAACACUUUUAAUUAGAGCAAAUGUUUGGCAUAUGCAGACACACUCAAAGUGACUGAUUUCUGAAAGUGCAUCCCCAUUCGGAAGCUAGAGCCAAGGUCCCACCUGCUCGGGGGUUUUCCCUGGAGCUUGAGAGGAACCUUUCACUCACCCACCUCCGAGUCUGAAGACACAGGCUGCCAGCGGUUGUGUUCAUGACGUCAACUUUGACGGUUGAUUCCUUUUUUGGAGAAAACCACUGGCUUUUGGAAUAAUUUUCGCCCUCUCUCCACAAGAGCCCUGCGAUUCAUAUAAGUUCUGUUUAUAAAACCCCUUCGGGGGCACAGGUCAAAUUUAGCAAGUCUGGGAUAGGGCAAGGCUUACUGGCCCAAAAUGGCAGAUGAGGAAAAAGGCUCAGACACCCUCAGGAGCCUGCCCAGGGCCACACGGCUCCUGAGAGAUGGUGCAGGAAUUGGACCAGAGUCUCUGCUGCCAAGUUCAUCUCCCUAUUACUAUACACUCGCUACACAUGCAGUUGGGAAGCUGUUCCUGAUCUUGGCUCUGUUGUCUGUUACGUGUCCUAGCUGGGUGCUUAGUCUUCUAGGGUUGCCAUAACAAUACCAAAAGCUGGGUGGAUUAAGACAACAGAAAUGUAUGGCCUUGUAGUUCUGGAGAUGGGAAGCCUGAAAUCCAAGUGUCAGCAGGGCUGUGCUCCAUCGGAAGGCUCCAGGGCAGGAUCCCUGUCUCCUCCCGGUUGCUGGUGGUUGCCUGCAAUCCUUGGCAUUCUUGCCUGUAGCUGCACCACUCCAGCCUCUGCCCCGUCUUCCCAUGACCUUCUCCCUGUGCAUCUAUUUGUCUGUGUCCAAAUCCUCUAUUUUCCUCUUAUGAAGACAUUAGUCAUUGGGUUUACUCACCCUGACUCAUGUGACCAGAUUUUAACUUAAUUGCAUCAGCAGAGAUGCCAUUUCCAAACAAAGUCACAGGUACUAACAGUUAGGACUUGAGCAUAUCUUUUGGGGGGACACAGGUCCCCUAUGACACUGAGACGCUGCCAGGGGGCCCCUGGUGGACCACACUCAUACCCAGAAGGUUCUGUGCCUGGUCAGUGUUCUCCCAUCCGUGGGUUCUCCUCAAUCCCCUGCUCAGGCCCAUGAGAUGCUUCCAGUAGGGGCUGUGCUCAUGAGUCCCUCUGCCAGGAGGGACAUGAAGUCAGCUGCUGCCAGCCUGUGGACGGAUUGUGCCGCUUUCGCAUCUGUCUGAGAUGCUGCAAGUGCGUGGCCUCAGUGAGUGGGUGGCAGUGCGAGCACAUUGUGUGUUCCGGGGAGCCGGGCCACCUCCGGCUGGAUGUGUCGCCUUCCUCAGGGCUCCUGGCAGCACCUGGUGCAUUACUGGGUCAGGGUAUCAUUUUGACCUCAGGGUGGCUGAGGAAGCUAUGUUUGGGGAAGUGGCAUGGAGCUUAGACAUUCGAGCUGGCCUGAUUCUUUUUCCCCACCAGAUGACAAGCGUCUCUAGGGCAGGGAUGCCUGGCCAUCUCCAUUUCCCCUCCAGCAGUUUCAGGCUCAUGGGAGCUGCCAUGUUUCUGCAGCUUUAGUCCCACAUUGCUGUGACCCUGUGAGGCUCCCCUGGGCAAGUCUUCACUCUCUGAGCACCAUGCAGGGCUGCUGUGGGGUUCCAUGAGAUGAUGCAUUUUAAAACCAUGCACGACUUGAAAUGCCCGCAGCUCUCAUUAUCUGGGAGAUGCCUCAGGACAAAGUGGCAGGACCUGAUUGAAGAAUAGGGUUGAAGACAGCACCUCGAUAUGUCUGGCGGUGCAGGGAUAGGUGGCCAUGUAACCCCAGUGGGAGCCACUUAUAGGAAAAGGUGGUAGAUUUGGGCAAGGAGGUGGCCCCUCUGAAAACCUGUUGCAGUUUCAAGUGAAUUUCUGAAGACGCGUCAAGUUUUAGAUCUACUGAGUCUGCAGUGACCAUGGCCAAUGGGAUGGGAAAAUUUUCUCACUAGAGGAGACCAGAGAGAGGGAACACGGACUCUCCAGAGAGUUUCGUGAGGGUCCCUGCCAAGGACUAGUGGAAACCCAAGCAGUUGGGGACAGGGAUAGUGGGAGAGGUGGGAGGCCACCUGGGAUCUUGGAAAAGAGGAAGCUUCCUUUUUGCAGCAUGGGAGGCAGCCUGGGAAAGUUAGGGUUGCAGGAUGGGAAUCCAGGGUUUCAGGAGGCAGGAACCUGGAGCAACCUGACUGGGCAGUGCUGUCAGCAGACCCAAGAAUACUGACUGGCCUGUGAAGGAAAAGUUUGCUGCAAAGUGGAAUCGAAAGUGACCAGGGGCCAACAGGGAAGGGGCCGCCCUCACUCCUUAUGGCUCUAAGGGGUUGGGUCUGUUCUCAGGUUCUGCGUGUGUCCCUGAUUCCUGAAGCUACCUGGAUGCUCCCUGAGAGCAGGAGCUGCUUCUGAAAGACCAUGGAUCCCCCCCACCCCACUCCCCAUCAAGCAGCCAGCAGAGUGCCAGGGGCAUAGCAGGUGCUCAUUUAACAAAAAUAGACAAGACCCGUUGCCAGAGACAGCUUUUGCUCAAGUGCUGGAGUUCUCAACCCAGCUGUCUAUGAGAAUAACCUUCCCAGGAGCAUUUGAAAAAUGCUCAUGCCCAGGCUCCUCACUUUGUAUUAAUGAUGCAGUUGGUCUGAGCUGGAGCCUGGCACCAGGCAUUUUCAAAGCUGCUCAUGGACACUGCAUUGUUAAGGUUCACCACCAGCUCCGAAUUGUGGCUGCACUAUGUGGGCACAUGCCCGGUCUUUCUGGGCCUGUUCAGUCAUUUGCAAAUAGCCUUGCAGAAAUGUACAUGGUGGGUCCAGUGUGUGCCUGGCACCCAGAGCCACUCUGGCUAAUGCUGAUUCAAAGUCGCAAGACGAUUUUGCCCUGUUUUGGUGGAUAGCUCCCCUGUGGAGAUGACUGCUCAGGGAAACUGGCAGAUUUCCAGAAGAGGGAAGAGGAGCAGCCAUUGCUGAUUGGAUCAUCCAAGCUGGGUUAGCGUCUGGCUUCGAGCACUGGUUUAAGGUGAGCAUUAAGGUCCCGUGGGAUGUUGAGAGUGUUUGAGGAGAAAGAACACAUCUCCUUGGUCUAGAUCUCCUUUCAAUGAAAAAUGCCAUUUUGUCAGAAAUUCCCCUCUUUUGGGAUCAGGCAGUGCAUUUGAUGUUAACGAGCUCUCAUUGAACACACGCUAUGUGCUGCAUUUGUGCAAGGGCUUGGGGACCCCCUAAAUGAAUUAGACAAAUUAGACAGUCAUGCCCUGUUGGAGCCCAGUGGCUUUUGGGUCCCCGUUCCCCAGGCACCUUAACCCAGGACAGCCACACUAGCAGGAGGAGGGCGGGGAGGGAGAGAUUCACACGUGAGGAUCAGGAUUUGCGAACUUGCGGAAGAGUGUGGUUUGCGGGGCCCCUGGCAACAGUCCUGCUUGUCGAAACACUUUUUUCUUGGUGUAAACUGUUCCCAAUCGAUUGAGAAAGAAGAUUUGGAACCAGGCCCAUGACCUUCUGCAGGUGCUGAGCUGUAGGUCUAUAGAUUGUUGGAAUGUUACAUAAAACAAAAAGCCCCUAAGGCCAUGCCUGGAAGAGCAAGCUCUCCCACAGGUCAGCCUCCUUCUCUGCAUAUUGCACAGCUUCAAGAGAUCUUAAAAGAAAGGACUCUUUUAAGCAAGGGUCAGAUGGGAUUGGGAUGACGCACAGGGAAGGUGUAGAUGCGGUUGCAGUGAAGGAGAGAGUGAGGACCCAGAGACCUCCUGUCCUCAGCCACAGGUGGCUUCCUCUUGGAGUCCACAGCAUGUGCAUAUUGGUGCAGGGCACUGCGGGAUGGAGUGUUCAUCCCAGCCACACGUUCCUGCUGGGCACCACCUCUCUCCUGACGAUAGGUUGGAGCUGAGGGCACAGAAAUGGCCAAGGCAGGGAGUCAAGCCAGACAGCCAGCAUCUCCAGAGAAUAGUGACAGAUGUUGUCUGCCAGGUAAGUGCAGGAAGUGCAGAACCUGCCUUGAAGCUGGACGAGGGUCAUACAAGGUGUCCCAGAGAGGGGACAUCUGAGCUGCAUCUUAAAGGAAGAGUAGCAGUUAGCUAUGUGCAGAAGGGCAGUCCAGGCAGGAAGAACAGAUGUGUCUAACCCAGGAGGAGAGCAUGGGCCAGCGGGAAGGGCAGGAAGCUAGGACUGGGCAAGAUAGAAAGAUCUGCCUGCUGGUUUGAUAGAGUGAGGGAAGUGUGGGGCCCUGUUUUAGCUCCGUAGCCAAAGACCUGAGUUCCAGCAAAUCACACAUGUGUGCAUGUUGUUAGAGUGUGUGUGGUGCGUGUGUGUAUGUGUGGGUGUGCAUGCAUAGGAGGAAAGGGAGCGGAGAGUUGUCAAAUGAGGCAAGCCAAAACCCAGGCAGUGGGAUGGUCAUGUUAGCAUCUGUUUUACAAGGGAGUUCCCGACGCAUCCUCCAGGAUCAUGGUUCGCUCAGCCUCACAUUGCUACAAAGUGGGAAUUUUACCAAUGAUUUAAAGCCCUUCCAAGGGCUUCCAGGGUCUCUGAUCUUCCUGGCAUAGCUCUCUGGCAUCUUCCUCACCCCCAGCACCCUAUGCACCAGACCUUGGGAAGGUGUUUCCGGCCCAUUUUUUUCUUGCUUUGAACCACAGCACGUGCUGUUGCCCCCACUGGAACACUCUCCCGCUUCUCUUCCUCCUUCAGAUCUCAGCCCGCUGUCGCCUUCUCUCUGACCCUGGUCCCUUCCACUGCAGGCUGUUGCUCCGGUGUCUCUGGGCUGCUCCACCACGUGGUGCCUGCCCAUCAUGGCAUCCACCACCAGGUGGCCUUUUUCUUGGUAAGUUCCUUACAAAGCAACAUGCUUUGUGCACCUCUCAAAUCUUCAACACCUAGCGUGGUACCUGGCCCCAGGUGGGCACUUGGUCGCAUAUUUGUUAAAUUAUUGAAUCCUUGAGAAAGCCCAAGCUCAGCAAGGUUAAAAAAACGUUUCUGCCAGUGAGUAAUAGAGUGGAUAUUCAAACCGGCCUUCUCGCUGGCCCCACUCCUGUGCACCUCUCACUGCACCUACCCACCUGCUGCCUUUCCUACCGAUCUCAACGAUUAUGCAGUGAGCUGUGGAAGAAAUGGGGCUCAGAGUCCGGUCUUCUAGAAGGUGGGCACUGGAGUGAGCCAGGCAGGGUGUCAGGGUGUCAGUGUUCAAGCUCAAUGGGGAAACUGAGGUAGAACCCCAGAAAUAGAGAUUGGGCUGUUCCAGCUAAGUAGCGGCAGUGCACAGGCAUGACCCUGUACCCACUGGAGACUUCAUUUGUGGCAUCAAGGCUCACUGCAGCCCCACCUCCUGGGACAAAGCACCUCCUGCCCUGUUUUGUGUGGAAUAAAGCUGGGACUUCCAUGAAGGGACUGGGCUGGGUGAGGGGCAAGCCAGAAGCUGCACCACACCCUCUGGAACUCUAGAGGCCAUUCCAAGCCUCACUUGUUUUUCUUUUCGCAAAAGUGGAAGCAGAAAGCCUCUGCUCUGUUUGCCUUACUCUGCAAAUAAAAAUGGAAUCAGGAGAGUAGUAGUUUGAAUCCCACUUGCAAGCAGUUUGUAAGAAGUGCCCAGGUGCCCCAAAAGGUGGAAACAUUUAUUUUCCAUUUGUAAAAAAUAACACUUUGUUAUGUUGAUAUCAUGCGGCAGCAGAGUACUCUGCAGUUUGCAGCUUGGGAAUGCAAAGGGCAGGGUCUCCUUGCAGGCCUGGCUCUGGGAAGCCUCCUCACCACAGCCCUCCAUAUUUUCCAUGACACUCUCCAGCUCCCAGAGCGUGCUGCCUUGCCUGCUUAGCAGGCUCUAAAAUCGUACUUUACAGUUUAUGCCAUGAUUCGGGCUUGCGUUGGAAUUUGUUCCUUCAAAUAGCUCUGGCAUAUGUUUUUAUUUCACAGUAAAACCGUUUUUAAAAGUUAACACAUGCACAUUGUCACAAAUCAAAUUGUAUAGGCAAGUAUAUCAUAAAAGCCCUGAUACAUCCUGAAUGCUUGCUUUGUGCCAGGCACUGUUCUGGGGAUGUUUUUCCUAUAAACUCAUUUAAUCCUCGUCAGAACUUUGUCCCCACUUUGUGUGAUCCAGGAUUUGCAUCCAGACAGUGCAUUGAUCGUCUUUGAGCCCCAGUCAUGGACUUCCUGAUGUGGAAGAGGAAUCCACUGCCGUACUAGUGGCUCUUUCUCCUCCUCUCAGUUUCAUCUGUGCUUGUUAAAGUGCUUCUCUCUGUUACUUUUCAAUCUUUAGAUACAUUUUUCUCCAGCACCCUUGCACAGUGUGUCUGUCUCCUUAUUUCAUAAGGUGAGGUUGUUAAUCCAUAUUGUUCCUUUUGUCUUUCCUCUCAAGCUUCGGUGCCACCCACCUGCUACUUUCAGGCUGACAUUCCUUCAAGGUUGCUGAAGCUUGCAUCCCAUCCUGAAUGCUCUAGCGUAUGCAUUGUCCAUAGUUUGACUCUGAAUGUUGAGAACAGUAGGUGACAUUGCUAUAAUUAUUGCUGCAUCAGAAGUGGCUAAUGCUGGGUUAACUCAUGCACUGGGAUGACCUUUUCUUCUCUGGAGAUCAAUGCCAGAACCCCUAGACCACUCAAAGCAGAAUGGCCUGGAACAGACUUGAGUGGGUUCUCCCGCCUACACAAUGUCAUUUGCUUGGAAGCAUGCCAUAUUGUAGUUUGCUUCAUCUUUGGAUCAUCACUUUAUUGCACAGGAUAUUUUUUCUGGGAUUUCUGGUUGCCUUUCUUUUUUUCUUCUUGCUUUCUAUGCCUUUUUCAUACUCUCCCUUUUUUCAUACCGCCUGUUCCAUUGAGCCUUUCCCCAUUGUUUUUCUGUUUUGUUUUGUUUCUUCUGGAGAGCUAACCCCUCUCAGGAUGCUCUCCCCUCCUCUACCCAGGGUACUGCAUCCUCUCCAGGGCUGCUGCCCCCAGGUCAUCUUGGGCUCACCGUCAUUGCUUUCCUGGGUUGGAGGCUCUGUUUGCUUAAGUUACCUCCUAAGAAAAGGUACAUGGAAAGUAAAGUGUCUGAAAAUGUCUGUAUUUUAUGCUCACACUGAAGGUCGAUUUCCAGGUUCUAGAUCAUUUGCCUUCAGAAUUUUGAAGACUUUAGAGUUUUCCUUGUUGCUGAUGAGAAGUCCGAUGCCUGGUUCUUUGUAGAUUAUUUAUUCUCUAUUUGUCUUGUCCAGAAGAUUAUAAGAAUUCUUCUUCAUUCAUGGGGUUCAUGUAUUACAUGAGGAUAGUCUCCAGGGUGGGUCUUCAUUUAUUCAUUGUUCUGGAUGCCCAGUGGCCCCCUUUCAUCUGAAAGCCCACGUCCUUCAGCUCUGGGAGAUUCUAAUGGAACUGAUUGUUUUAAAACCUUCAUUUGUUUUCCAUUCUCCAUAUCUGAGCCUCUUACUUGUCAGCUCUAAAAUCUUCCAGAAAGGGAUUAUAUUCUUCUACAUUUUUCUCAUUUCUUUGCC
This 22278-nucleotide long non-coding RNA is filed under the name Homo sapiens (human). RNAcentral describes it as "non-protein coding lnc-TUNAR-1:2". The record is from RNAcentral. Lineage: Eukaryota; Metazoa; Chordata; Mammalia; Primates; Hominidae.